UAUGUAGGGUGCGAGCGUUGUCCGGAAUUAUUGGGCGUAAAGGGCGCGUAGGUGGCGGGACAAGCGUGCGGUGAAAGCCUGGGGCUCAACCCCGGGUCGGCCGUGCGAACUGUUUUGCUUGAGCACUGUAGAGGCAGGCGGAAUUCCGGGUGUAGCGGUGGAAUGCGUAGAGAUCCGGAAGAACACCGGUGGCGAAGGCGGCCUGCUGGGCAGUAGCUGACACUGAGGCGCGACAGCGUGGGGAGCAAACAGG
This 253-nucleotide ribosomal RNA is filed under the name uncultured bacterium. RNAcentral describes it as "partial 16S ribosomal RNA". It matches the Rfam family "Bacterial small subunit ribosomal RNA", at positions 524 to 776 of the family's 1533-position model. The record is from RNAcentral.